RNAcentral lists this ribosomal RNA (498 nucleotides) under uncultured bacterium. Its description in RNAcentral is "SSU rRNA". It matches the Rfam family "Bacterial small subunit ribosomal RNA", at positions 26 to 518 of the family's 1533-position model. The record is from RNAcentral.
AGGACGAACGCUGGCGGCGCGCUUAACACAUGCAAGUCGAGCGGCAGCGCGGUAGCAAUACUGGCGGCGAGCGGCGGACGGGUGAGUAACGCUUGGGAAUCUGCCUAUUAGUGGGGGACAACCCGGGGAAACUCGGGCUAAUACCGCAUACGCUCUACGGAGGAAAGCCGGGGACCGCAAGGCCUGGCGCUAAUAGAUGAGCCCAAGUCGGAUUAGCUAGUUGGUAGGGUAACGGCCUACCAAGGCGACAAUCCGUAGCUGGUCUGAGAGGACGACCAGCCACACCGGAACUGAGACACGGUCCGGACUCCUACGGGAGGCAGCAGUGGGGAAUAUUGGACAAUGGGGGCAACCCUGAUCCAGCGACGCCGCGUGGGUGAAGAAGGCCUGGCGGUUGUAAAGCCCUUUCGGUGGGGAAGAAAAGUUGCGACCUAACACGUUGCGACCCUGACGUAACCCACUAAAGAAGCACCGGCUAACUCUGUCGCCAGCAGCCGC